UUGACCUCGGAUCAGGUAGGGAUACCCGCUGAACUUAAGCAUAUCAAUAAAGGGGGAA
Molecule: ribosomal RNA, 58 nt
Filed under: ascomycete sp. ZGZII04023
Lineage: Eukaryota; Fungi; Ascomycota
Description: partial 28S ribosomal RNA
Source: RNAcentral